RNAcentral lists this ribosomal RNA (403 nucleotides) under Verrucomicrobiota bacterium. RNAcentral describes it as "Verrucomicrobia bacterium partial 16S ribosomal RNA". It matches the Rfam family "Bacterial small subunit ribosomal RNA", at positions 355 to 776 of the family's 1533-position model. Lineage: Bacteria; Pseudomonadati; Verrucomicrobiota. The record is from RNAcentral.
UGGGGAAUAUUGGACAAUGGGCGCAAGCCUGAUCCAGCCAUGCCGCGUGAGUGAUGAAGGCCCUAGGGUUGAAAAGCUCUUUCACCGGUGAAGAUAAUGACGGUAACCGUAGAAUAAGCCCCGGCUAACUUCGUGCCAGCAGCCGCGGUAUUACUAAGGGGGCUCGCGUUGUUCGGAUUUACUGGGCGUAAAGGGUGCGUAGGUGGUCUUUCAAGUCGGUGGUUAAAGGCUACGGCUCAACCGUAGUUAGCCUCCGAAACUGGAAGACUUGAGUGCAGGAGAGGAAGGUGGAAUUCCAAGUGUAGCGGUGAAAUGCGUAGAUAUUGGGAGGAACACCAGUGGCGAAGGCGGCUUUAUGGACUGAAACUGACACUGAGGAACGAAAGCGUGGGUAGCAAACAGG